AUUUGGUGUAAUGGCACGAAGAAUUUUGAUGUCUUAAGAUCUAACAGAAAGAAAUUAAUA
This 60-nucleotide transfer RNA is filed under the name Anaulaciulus koreanus. RNAcentral describes it as "tRNA-Gln". Lineage: Eukaryota; Metazoa; Arthropoda; Diplopoda; Julida; Julidae. The record is from RNAcentral.